UCCUGUAGACCAAACCCAGUACCGUUACGAUUUCAAUCGUACGGGAAAUCCACUCACGAAGCUAAGUGGGGUAGGCCUAGCUAGGCCGGGGCCUGCACAGUCAGCACCAUUUUUUUAAGGAAUAGUUUUAAUACAUUGUACAAUGUGUCUGGGUAAGGUACUGACGGGACUACACUACACUUGGUAAUGAUAACUUAUCAUUGCUUUCGACUUCGUGUCGAUGUAACGACGAUAGCAAACAUCCUCGUAAUCGUAUGCCUUUCCCUCAUCCAUUCCAAGAGGCACAUCCAUUCCUAGCCUAGUUAAGACACAAGUUUGUCAGCUAUAGUUCGGUUAAGACUGUCUAAAACUAUCCAUAAUUUGUUACAAGUAACAAUCUUCAAGAAUCUGGUUGCUGUAACUAGAAUUGGAGUUUCAUUAGCAAUUUCUUCGCGGUGAAAACAACACUUUGUAUUACAACACCGGCACACUGUCCGUCGCUAGUCGCCAUGUUGCUGUUUACUCUUGUUGUUUACUGUUGUUGGCUGUACCACAACACGUGAAGUUAUUGUAACAAAAUCAAUUUAAUAGUAGUCUAAAAAAUAUUAUUCUGUAAUUAAAAUACACAUUAUAUCUAAUUAUAAUUUUAAAAUUUGUUUUUAAAGCAGUAAUACGAAGUUCGCAAAUAAUAAACUACGUAUCAAAAAUACAAUAUUCGAACGAGUACAAUGACGUUUACAAAAUGUCGUGUGCUAAUCUAGCGCAAAGAACUUUCAAUUUCGUGUAAAGGUGGCAUCCUCCAUCGCAUUUGAAAUACUUGCAUUCUGGCGCCCUCAUACACUUCACAGCACAUCGAAUGCAGCUUCCUGUCGAGUUUUGAGUCGUUAUUGAACGAUGAAAGUUUAAAGACUUGUAAUAAGUUGAGUGUUCAGCCAUUUUGUCUGCACAAAAAUAUACAGAGUUCUGACCAAGAAACCCAGACUCAAAACUACCGGGCCUGUGUCCAGCAGAGGGUAGUCCUUACCUCUAAAUAAUUUGAUACCCGACUAACUGACUAGCAAAGCGUUCGAUAAAGUCAACCACUGGACGUUGUUUAAGACGCUGGUUGAACGAGGUACCCCCAACCCUGUUAUUCAAGUCCUUCGAUCAUGGUGUCGGUCGCAGGAGUUUGUUGUCAGGAUGGAUAAAAUUUAGCUUCGCGUUGAACCUUGGAGAUGCAAAUACGUUUUCACCUUUCUUCAUCUAUCAAGUAUUGUUGAAUAAACACUUCAGAACAUAGAAAGCGUUGAGACCCUUUUGUUGAGUUGUGCGACCCCCAGCUACAAUUACCUACCUUGGUCACGUUAUAAACAAUAACCUAAGCGUUAGUGUGACGUUAAACGUCAAUACCGUUCGAUAUGUAUAAGACCUCUCUCAGUAGGAAAUUUGGUAAAUGCUCUAUGACGACUAAAUGUUAUUUGUUUAAAUGCUACUGUGUUAGUAUAUAUUGUUCUACUCUUUGGUGUAGAUAUAACAAAGGUACUAUAAGAUCGUUAAAAGUCUGCUAUAAUAAUGCCCUUCGUUUAUUACUGCGACAACCGAGGCACUUUAGUGCAAGUUUUAUGUUUGUAUCCAAUGGUGUACCGUCCUUUGACGAGUAUCUUCGAAACUCUAUACAUAGUUUCAAGAACCGUGUUAAAAUCAGCUCUAAUUCAAUAAUUUUGGCCAUUAAGCAUUAUGCUCUUUCCAAUUCUAAAAUGUAUAAACAGUGGAACAUUGUCGUACAUUAAGAUGAUUUCCUGAUCUUGAUGUUUUUCUUGAUUCAGUCUUUUUCACUUUUGUCUGAUAUUUAUAUGUAUUUGUAUUGGUUGAACUGUUGUUCUUUUGUAUGGGCAUGAAAGUCCGAAAUAAAAGAUGAAUGAAUGAAUGAAGUAAACUAUAUAAAGACACUUACCGUUACU
This 1919-nucleotide long non-coding RNA is filed under the name Anneissia japonica. RNAcentral describes it as "uncharacterized LOC117116653, transcript variant X2". Lineage: Eukaryota; Metazoa; Echinodermata; Crinoidea; Comatulida; Comatulidae. The record is from RNAcentral.